This is a long non-coding RNA of Petromyzon marinus (sea lamprey), 1272 nucleotides long. RefSeq lists it as uncharacterized. Lineage: Eukaryota; Metazoa; Chordata; Hyperoartia; Petromyzontiformes; Petromyzontidae. The record is from RefSeq and is a predicted model, not a curated record.
UGUAGUUUUGUAGUUUUCACAUUGGCUAGUUAUUUGUGAUGGGGAUGUGUAUCCAAUUAUUUUCAUUGUCAGCACACAUUUUCGUGAUAUAAUAUGUACUGAGGCUCAUUUGUUAUUAUUUUCACUUGUCAAACGGAGGACGGUUCGAUGUCUGUGGCUAAAACAGUGACCAUCACCGUGAAGGGUUCAUGGCUGUUUUGGAUCUAUAUAGCUUCAGGAGUUGUUGGUGCUAUAGCAAUAAUCUUCAUAAUUGUGGUAAUCUACUGCAUCCACAAAAGAGGGCAAUAUAUAAAACUGUCCUACUGGAGUCAAGGAGUGAGGGGAGGAAGAGAAUCGUGUGCCACGUCGGGGCAUGGCACGGGGGAUGACGCCACAGAAGUACUUCAAGUUUGUCUCUUCAGAAGACCUUUCAUCGCCAUUAUCAGCCAAGAUCAAUCCGCUACUGGAUGAAGGCUUCCCAAGCUGCCACCAUUCCUCAGGGUAUUGCGUGACCCAACGCUACAAGGAAUAACUGCAUGUCAAUCAUUUCGUGUCUACCAUGACUUGACGCUUGGUGGCAUGGCUUAUCUAUUUACAUGUCAAUAUUUAAUACACCUGAGCUGGGGUAAUACUAUGUUAAGUCUUGGGGAACCAUUUACUGCCACAAUAAACACAUUAAUGGCCCUCUUUUGGCAGUCACAGUGCAAUGGUUGAGGUUUGUCUUUGGAGCCUCGAGAUCUCAGCUCAGCUGCUCCCCAAUUCUUCACUGCAGAAGAAGCAUUCAAAGCUGCAGCUUUAAUCUCAUUACCACUACACAAAUCAUUUGAAUGUAUUUAGUAGUUGGCAGGUGAACUACUGGUAUCACUUAAAUAAAGCUUUGCUCCUUGACCUGAGCCUCAUACUGACAGUGAAGUGAAAUGCUCAAACAGAAAACAGUUACAUAUAUUUUCACAUCAUGUUUGCAUGUUUUGCCACAAGUAUGUGUGGUUAAUGCAGACUUGAUGAUUUGCAAUCGGUAUCUAUAACACUAUCUGUUUUAUUGCCAGGAAGGGGAAAGGGUAAAAUAAAUUUUUCUAUCAGCUCCAGGAUCUCUACAUUUGCCCUCCAAGUGCUGCCCUCUAGCUGGCAAGAUACGAGCGCGUUUUGCUCGUAAAUAUAAGUGCUGGUAUUUUUUUUAAUGUUGGGGUUUACGCGCAUGUGUACAAUGGGAUGAGACGAUUGAUUUUUCGAUUUUUAGGUUUUAUUUAUUUCAGCAGGCAGGGCCCAAUUAGGGGCCGUCCAUAAAUGACGUCA